AUUGAACGCUGGCGGCAUGCUUUACAUAUGCAAGUCGAACGGUAACAGCACUUCGGUGGCUGACGAGUGGCGAACGGGUGAGUAAUACAUCGGAACGUGCCUAGUAGUGGGGGAUAACUACUCGAAAGAGUAGCUAAUACCGCAUGAGAUCUAAGGAUGAAAGCAGGGGACCUUCGGGCCUUGCGCUACUAGAGCGGCUGAUGGCAGAUUAGGUAGUUGGUGGGAUAAAAGCUUACCAAGCCGACGAUCUGUAGCUGGUCUGAGAGGACGACCAGCCACACUGGGACUGAGACACGGCCCAGACUCCUACGGGAGGCAGCAGUGGGGAAUUUUGGACAAUGGGCGCAAGCCUGAUCCAGCAAUGCCGCGUGCAGGAUGAAGGCCUUCGGGUUGUAAACUGCUUUUGUACGGAACGAAAAGCCCUCUUCUAAUACAGGAGUGUCAUGACGGUACCGUAAGAAUAAGCACCGGCUAACUACGUG
RNAcentral lists this ribosomal RNA (482 nucleotides) under uncultured bacterium. Its description in RNAcentral is "partial 16S ribosomal RNA". It matches the Rfam family "Bacterial small subunit ribosomal RNA", at positions 30 to 507 of the family's 1533-position model. The record is from RNAcentral.